This 105-nucleotide microRNA precursor is filed under the name Paramuricea clavata. The record is from RNAcentral. Lineage: Eukaryota; Metazoa; Cnidaria; Anthozoa; Malacalcyonacea; Plexauridae.
CAUGUUACACGGUGCAAUUUUUCUUGCAACUUGCAAUGCAAUUCUACUCUUGAGAGAUGUUAAAACAUCAUGCAAGUUGCAAGAAAAAUUGCACCGUGUAACAUG